This is a long non-coding RNA of Stylophora pistillata, 339 nucleotides long. RefSeq lists it as uncharacterized. Lineage: Eukaryota; Metazoa; Cnidaria; Anthozoa; Scleractinia; Pocilloporidae. The record is from RefSeq and is a predicted model, not a curated record.
UAUCGCCACUAGUCGGCGUAGGUCAGUGUGUGUUGACCUCUUCUGAGUAAUGUGUAUUACAAUGAGUAAUUGCAAUCUUCAUGUAAUUUUUAACUUAGAGAUGUCAAGAUUUAAGUCGCUGAAGUUAUGGUUGGUAGAGAUUCGACCGAAUGCUUGCGGUCGGAACAAUUGGGACACAAAUUCAUCACACCAGAAAUCUCUCUUGAGGAUCAGUGCUGCCUAAAGGUAUAUUGAUAGAAGCUGACAAAAGUGCAUUCCUGAGCAAGAUUUCAGCUGAAGGACAAAUUUUGGCAGCAUGUCAAGUUGACCAUUUACAUGAUGAUGUCAAGUUCAUCUUUU